CCUACGGGGGGCAGCAGUGGGGAAUAUUGGGCAAUGGGCGCAAGCCUGACCCAGCAAUGCCGCGUGAAGGAAGAAGGCUUUCGGGUUGUAAACUUCUUUGACAGGGGACGAGCAGAAGACGGUACCCUGAAAACAAGCCACGGCUAACUACGUGCAAGCAGCCGCGGUAAUACGUAGGUGGCAAGCGUUGUCCGGAUUUACUGGGUGUAAAGGGCGUGUAGCCGGGAAGGUAAGUCAGAUGUGAAAUCCGGAGGCUUAACCUCCGAAUUGCAUUUGAAACUAUUUGUCUUGAGUACUAGAGAGGAAGACGGAAUACCUUGUGUAGCGGUGAAAUGCGUAGAUAUAAGGUGGAACACCAGUGGCGAAGGCGGUCUGCUGGACAGAAACUGACGGUGAGGCGCGAAAGCAUGGGGAGCAAACAGGAUUAGAUACCCGUGUAGUC
Molecule: ribosomal RNA, 442 nt
Filed under: uncultured bacterium
Lineage: Bacteria
Description: partial 16S ribosomal RNA
Rfam family: Bacterial small subunit ribosomal RNA
Source: RNAcentral